AUGUCAGAACAUCAUUUACUCCAAGGGGGAGGAAGGAUGGAUGCAUUCUCAGAGUAUUACCCAGGCCCAGUGACUGACAAACCUUUACUUGAGCAAUACGGCCCGAGGGGGAGGAAGGAUGCAUUCUCAGAGUAUUACCCAGGCCCAGUGACUGACAAACCUUUACUUGAGCAAUACGGCACGAGGGGUUGUGGUAUAAGGCCAAUAUACCACGGCUAUGGGCUGUUCUUAGGCACGACGCAACACGGCCCUUAGCCGUGGUAUAUUGGCCAUAUACCACAAACCCCUGAGGUGCCUUAUUGCUGUUAUAAACUGGUUACCAACUGAAUUAGAGCAGUAAAAAUAAAUGUUUUGUCAUACCCGUGGUAUACCACGGCUGUCAGCCAAUCAGCAUUCAGGGCUCGAACCACCCAGUUUAUAACCAUCAAUCGAACACUAGAAUAAAGACUCAAGGAGAAAUGUAGAAGGCUGAAUAAACUGCAAAACAAGUGUUAAAAAGAACAAAACUACAUACAUACAUACAUACAUACAUACAUACAUACAUACAUACAUACAUACAUACAUACAUACAUACAUACAUACAUACAUACAUACAUACAUACAUACAUACAUACAUACAUACAUACAUACAUACAUACAUACAUACAUACAUACAUACAUACAUACAUACAUACAUAAAGGCACAAGGGCAUUGAAUUAAAAAUGUUCACAGCAACACUGAAAAAAGACAUGGUGUGAAUACUGGCUUACUGAUGUGGUACGACACUGACGCAAAGACCAUAUUGUCACUACUACUGUAGUAAAUCUGUAGCCUCCCCCAGGCCCUCCCGAGACACUCCAUUUCCACACUUAGCCAUGCAAAAUGCCAUGAAGGAGAGAACAUCCACAUCGUAGGAAAACAAAGCUACCUGCCUGCACAGACAGACCAAGCUCCAACUAUGAACGACUGGCCUCGUCAUUUACUGGAAAAACACAGCAGCCCAAAUGUGAAGGGAGAGGAAGGCUGCAUCCUAAAUGGCAUCAAAAUCCCUUUAUAGUACACUACUUUUGAACCAGGGCCCAGAGGACUCUGGUCAUAGGUAGUGCACUAUAGAGGGAAUAGGGUGCCAUUUGGGACGUCACAUAAUAAAUCACACAAAGGUCGAGACGAUGAUUUCACAAAACAUUACAGUCAAUGUACAGCAUCUCCAAAACAGCGGAAGUCAACGGUUUAUAUGGAGCUGCUGGAGCACAAAGACAAUUCUCUGACCCAGGAGGUCAAACACAACAAUCACAAAUGUCCGUCCUUCCAUGCCAAAGCAGCUUUGCAUUAAAAUCCUGGUGCCAUAUGAACCAAACAUCUCUACUCUGACAGUAGAGUGCUGAUCUAGGAUCAGUAAAUCCUGGUGCCAUAUGAACCAAACAUCUCUACUCUGACAGUAGAGUGCUGAUCUAGGAUCAGUAAAUCCUGGUGCCAUAUGAACCAAACAUCUCUACUCUGACAGUAGAGUGCUGAUCUAGGAUCAGUAAAUCCUGGUGCCAUAUGAACCAAACAUCUCUACUCUGACAGUAGAGUGCUGAUCUAGGAUCAGUAAAUCCUGGUGCCAUAUGAACCAAACAUCUCUACUCUGACAGUAGAGUGCUGAUCUAGGAUCAGUAAAUCCUGGUGCCAUAUGAACCAAACAUCUCUACUCUGACAGUAGAGUGCUGAUCUAGGAUCAGUAAAUCCUGGUGCCAUAUGAACCAAACAUCUCUACUCUGACAGAGUGCUGAUCUAGGAUCAGUAAAUCCUGGUGCCAUAUGAACCAAACAUCUCUACUCUGACAGUAGAGUGCUGAUCUAGGAUCAGUAAAUCCUGGUGCCAUAUGAACCAAACAUCUCUACUCUGACAGUAGAGUGCUGAUCUAGGAUCAGUAAAUCCUGGUGCCAUAUGAACCAAACAUCUCUACUCUGACAGUAGAGUGCUGAUCUAGGAUCAGUAAAUCCUGGUGCCAUAUGAACCAAACAUCUCUACUGACAGUAGAGUGCUGAUCUAGGAUCACAUUGGGACCUUGGGACCUGAUCCUAGAUCAGCACUCCUACUCAGAUGUUUGAUAAAUAUGGCCUCUGUUCACAUUCCUCUCUUUGUUCAAGUCAUAAAAACAAACCAAAAAUGGUGAACACUUAGAAAUAUGAACCAACUGAUGAUGAAGAGUUGAAGCAGAGAAUAACAGCCUUCCUCUACAGUAGUCAACACGAGAGUCCAACUCAUAUUACACAGCUACAUCAUCUCUGCUUCCCAAAUGGACCCCAUUGUCUUCUUAGUGCAGUACAUUGGACUGGGGUCUGGUCAAGCUUAGUGCACUAUAUAGAGAAUAGGGCUCCAUUUACCUACAGUAGUCUGAUGGGGGUAGGGUGGGGGGGGCUUUGUCAUAAACCCUCACAUUUCCAGGAUAGGGUGAAUAAUGGAAGCCAUAUUGUUCAGGGAGGAAUCAUAACCAGUCUAACUGAAAUUAAUGGCAGUAGAGGCAUAAUCCUGAUUUGACUUCUACAGGAAAACAAAAGUAAGGCAUGUGAUAUCAGAAAUGUCUAAUGUCAAUCUAAAAUAGUCAGAAUUAUAAAUACAGUUUAUACAGGUUUUAUACACAUGUUGAUAUAGCCUCUAUAAUAUAUGUAAACAAUUGUUGUUGUUGUUUUCUUGGAAAACUGAGUGCCACUAUGAUACAAUAAUCAAUAGCUAACUUAUUGCAUUUACAACUAGCCGAAGUCCAACCAGCCAGUGAAUGGAUUGUUGGAAUGGAAUGUUGGCAUAUUGACAGUUAAUUGGACAAAUGAAUUGAAUCGUUCCUCUAAAAGCUGCCCGGUUAGCUAGCUAACAAACACACUGUAGACAAAUUCCCCCAAUUCAUUAUUUUACAAAAUAUCU
Molecule: long non-coding RNA, 2884 nt
Organism: Oncorhynchus kisutch (coho salmon)
Lineage: Eukaryota; Metazoa; Chordata; Actinopteri; Salmoniformes; Salmonidae
Source: Ensembl